CGAGGACUCAGAUCCCUUCGCUAGCCCAUUUCACUGGGGUAGUGUAUAAGCCAGAAAAGUUCCCCACAAUAGCGGGACCAUUCCCCUGCUUACUCAUGGAAAGGAGCUCCUGUCCUUAGGCUACAGCUUGCAGCUCAUCCUCUGUGACCCAGCACCAGCUAAUGGAUUUGUUCCUCAGUGGAUUCUCUGGAUGUUGAAAUCUUUAUUCAGCUCGCUGCUGGUGUGUUGCGAGUUUGUGGUAUCUGAGUCUGUUCCAUCCACCCUGUGUACAGCUGCUCUUGGCCCUUUUUGAAGUUGUGCUGGCCCCAGCCCCUGGAAGGACACGCCCAGAGAUCAGAUUCAUUUCCAGAGCAGUUCACAUCAUCCAGCCAGAUCUGCCCGGAUCCUUCCCCGUA
Chelonia mydas (Green sea turtle) is the source of this 395-nucleotide long non-coding RNA. RefSeq lists it as uncharacterized. The record is from RefSeq and is a predicted model, not a curated record. The transcript has 3 exons. NCBI's taxonomy places the organism in Eukaryota, Metazoa, Chordata, Testudines, Cheloniidae.